RNAcentral lists this ribosomal RNA (492 nucleotides) under uncultured bacterium. RNAcentral's name for it is "partial 16S ribosomal RNA". It matches the Rfam family "Bacterial small subunit ribosomal RNA", at positions 29 to 507 of the family's 1533-position model. The record is from RNAcentral.
AGUGAACGCUGGCGGUAGGCCUAACACAUGCAAGUCGAACGGCAGCACAGUAAGAGCUUGCUCUUACGGGUGGCGAGUGGCGGACGGGUGAGGAAUACAUCGUAAUCUACUUUUUCGUGGGGGAUAACGUAGGGAAACUUACGCUAAUACCGCAUACGACCUACGGGUGAAAGCAGGGGAUCUUCGGACCUUGCGCGAUUGAAUGAGCCGAUGUCGGAUUAGCUAGUUGGCAGGGUAAAGGCCCACCAAGGCGACGAUCCGUAGCUGGUCUGAGAGGAUGGUCAGCCACACUGGAGCUGAGACGCGGUCCAGACUACUACGAGAGGCAGCAGUGGGGAAUAUUGGACAGUGGGGGCAAGCCUGAUCCAGCCAUACCGCGUGGGUGAAAGAGGCCUUCGGGUUGUAAAGCCCUUUUGUUGGGAAAGAAAAGCAGCAGGUUAAUACCCCGCUGUUCCGACGGUACCCAAAGAAUAAGCACCGGCUAACUUCGUG